This 1383-nucleotide long non-coding RNA is filed under the name Sparus aurata (gilthead seabream). RNAcentral's name for it is "lncRNA (ENSSAUG00010002715.1)". The record is from RNAcentral. Lineage: Eukaryota; Metazoa; Chordata; Actinopteri; Spariformes; Sparidae.
CAGCAGGCUAGCACGAGCAGCAGACUGCAGGGACUGAAAAGUAGCACCAUCAGCACCACCAGCACCAUCAGCACCACCAACACCACCAGAACCACCAGCACCAUCAGCACCACCAGCACCAUCAGAACCACCAGCACCACCAGCACCACCAACACCACCAGCACCACCAACACCACCAGAACCAUCAGCACCACCAGCACCAUCAGCACCACCAACACCACCAGAACCACCAGCACCAUCAGCACCACCAACACCACCAGAACCAUCAGCACCACCAGCACCACCAACACCACCAGAACCAUCAGUACCAUCAACACCAUCAACACCACCAGCACCAUCAACACCACCAGCACCAUCAGUACCAUCAGCACCACCAACACCACCACCACAUCAUCGGCACCAUCAACACCACCAGAACCACCAGCACCACCAGCACCAUCAACAACACCAGCACCAUCAGUACCAUCAGCACCAUCAGCUCCAUCAGCACCACCAGCACCAUCAACAACACCAGAACCACCAGCACCAUCAACAACACCAGAACCACCAGCACCAUCAACACCACCACAUCAUCGGCAUCACCAGCACCACCAGCACCACCAGCACCAUCAACACCACCAGCACCACCAGCACCAUCAACACCACCAGCACCAUCAACACCACCAGCACCAUCAGCACCACCAGCACCAUCAACAACACCAGCACCAUCGGCACCAUCAGCUCCAUCAGCACCACCAGCACCAUCAGCACCAUCAGCUCCACCAGCACCGUCAACAACACCAACACCACCAGCACCAUCAACACCACCAGCACCAUCAACACCACCAGCACCAUCAGUACCAUCAGCACCACCAGCACCAUCAACAACACCAGCACCAUCGGCACCAUCAGCUCCAUCAGCACCACCAGCACCAUCAGCUCCACCAGCACCGUCAACAACACCAACACCACCAGCACCAUCAACACCACCAGCACCAUCAACACCACCAGCACCAUCAGUACCAUCAGCACCACCAGCACCAUCAACACCACCAGCACCAUCAGUACCAUCAGCACCACCAGCACCAUCAACAACACCAGCACCAUCGGCACCAUCAGCUCCACCAGCACCACCAGCACCAUCAGCACCACCAGCACCGUCAACAACACCAACACCACCAGCAUCAUCAGUACCACCAGCACCACCAGAACCACCAGCAGCAUCAGCACCAUCAGCUCCAUCAGUAUUUGUUUGUUAAAUUCAUAUCUAACAUGAUCUUUGUAUCUAAACACAUUUAUUUGAUGGUAAAUACUCGUUUUAAACUGUCUGUCAAUCAAAGAGUUGCAUUAAGUCCUUCACUCCGGAACAGCCAAUCACCUUCCAGCUCCUGUCCCUUCAGCUGA